UACGUAGGGAGCAAGCGUUGUCCGGAUUUACUGGGUGUAAAGGGUGCGUAGGCGGCUUUGUAAGUCAGAAGUGAAAUCUAUGGGCUUAACCCAUAAACUGCUUUUGAAACUGCAGGGCUUGAGUGAAGUAGAGGUAGGCGGAAUUCCCGGUGUAGCGGUGAAAUGCGUAGAGAUCGGGAGGAACACCAGUGGCGAAGGCGGCCUACUGGGCUUUAACUGACGCUGAGGCACGAAAGCGUGGGUAGCAAACAGG
RNAcentral lists this ribosomal RNA (253 nucleotides) under uncultured bacterium. Its description in RNAcentral is "partial 16S ribosomal RNA". It matches the Rfam family "Bacterial small subunit ribosomal RNA", at positions 524 to 776 of the family's 1533-position model. The record is from RNAcentral.